AGAGUUUGAUCCUGGCUCAGAGCGAACGCUAGCGGCACGCUUAACACAUGCAAGUCGAACGAAAAUUUAUUUAGGUAAAUUUUAGUGGCAAACGGGUGAGUAAUAUGCAGAAAUCUGCCCUUUUGAGGGGGAUAGCCAUGGGAAACUGUGAUUAAUACCCCAUAAGCUCGAAAGAGGAAAGGUCAUAAGACCGCUGAAGGAGGAGUCUGCAUCAGAUUAGAUAGUUGGUAGGGUAAAGGCUUACCAAGUCUAUGAUCUGUAGCUGGUCUGAGAGGAUGGUCAGCCACACUGGGACUGAGAUACGGCCCAGACUUCUACGGAAGGCAGCAGUGAGGAAUAUUGGACAAUGGGGGAAAYCMKGRKCSAGYGWYKUCGGCGCUGAAUUGAUGAAGGCCAUAAGGUUGURAAGUUCUUUCGUCUGUGAUGAAUAAUUGACACUAACAGAAAAAGGAAGGCUCCGGCUAACUUCGUGCMRGCAGSCGCGGUAAGACGAAGGGAGCAAGCGUUGCUCGGAAUGAUKGGGCGUAAAGGGUGCGUAGGCUGUCUUUUAAGUAAAAUGUUAAAGGCUUGGACUCAAUUUAAGUUUUGCAUUUUAUACUGAAAGACUCGAAUAUGGGAGAGGAAACAGGAAUUUCUCAAGUAGAGGUAAAAUUCGUUGAUAUGAGAAGGAACACCAGAGGCGAAGGCGAGUUUCUGGAACAUUAUUGACGCUGAGGCACGAAAGCGUGGGUAGCAAACAGGGUUAGAUACCCUGGUAGUCYACGCCCUAAACGAUGAUUGCUAAACGUCGGGAAUAAUUAAUUUUCGGUGUUGAAAGCUAACGCGAUAAGCAAUCCGCCUGAGGAGUACGGUCGCARGACUAAAACUCAAAGGAWUUGACGGGGACCCGCACAAGCGGUGGAAGCAUGGUGGGUUUAAUUCGAAUAAUCCCGCGAAAAAACCUWACMAGCUUCKUGGACAAUGGAAGGUCCGUAAYCUUAUGAGAGUAAGAUGUCGGGUUAUGCCGGACCUCACACAGGUGGUGCAUGGCUGUCGUCAGCUCGUGUCGUGAGAUUUUGGGUUAAGUCCUUUAACGGGCGCAACCCCUAUCUUUACUUGCUAACGAAUAAUGUCGAGAACUUUAGAGAGACUGCCAGUGAUAAACUGGAGGAAGGUGGGGAUGACGUCAAGUCAUCAUGCCCCUUAUGAGCUGGGCUACACAUGUGCUACAAUGGCGGUUACAAUAUGUUGCAAAGGGGUGACCUGGAGCCAAUCACAAAAAACCGUCUCAGUUCGGAUUGUUCUCUGCAACUCGAGAACAUGAAGUUGGAAUCGCUAGUAAUCGCUGAUCAGCACGCAGCGGUGAAUACGUUCACGGGUCUUGUACACACCGCCCGUCAAGCCAUGGGAAUUGGUUUCACCCAAAGAUGAUAAGCUAACUUAUUUUAGAGGCAGUUGUUCAAGGUGAGGCUAGUGACUGGGGUUAAGUCGUAACAAGGUAGCCGU
This 1485-nucleotide ribosomal RNA is filed under the name uncultured Rickettsiales bacterium. RNAcentral's name for it is "bacterial SSU rRNA". It matches the Rfam family "Bacterial small subunit ribosomal RNA". Lineage: Bacteria; Pseudomonadati; Pseudomonadota; Alphaproteobacteria; Rickettsiales. The record is from RNAcentral.